This 253-nucleotide ribosomal RNA is filed under the name uncultured bacterium. Its description in RNAcentral is "partial 16S ribosomal RNA". It matches the Rfam family "Bacterial small subunit ribosomal RNA", at positions 524 to 776 of the family's 1533-position model. The record is from RNAcentral.
UACGUAGGGGGCAAGCGUUGUCCGGAUUCAUUGGGCGUAAAGAGCGUGUAGGCGGCCAGGUAGGUCCGUUGUGAAAACUCGAGGCUCAACCUCGAGACGUCGAUGGAAACCAUCUGGCUAGAGUCCGGAAGAGGAGAGUGGAAUUCCUGGUGUAGCGGUGAAAUGCGCAGAUAUCAGGAAGAACACCAAUGGCGAAGGCAGCUCUCUGGGACGGUACUGACGCUGAGACGCGAAAGCGUGGGGAGCAAACAGG